UGGGGAAUAUUGCACAAUGGACGAAAGUCUGAUGCAGCAACGCCGCGUGGAGGAUGACACAUUUCGGUGCGUAAACUCCUUUUAUAUGAGAAGAUAAUGACGGUAUUAUAUGAAUAAGCACCGGCUAACUCCGUG
RNAcentral lists this ribosomal RNA (135 nucleotides) under uncultured bacterium. Its description in RNAcentral is "partial 16S ribosomal RNA". It matches the Rfam family "Bacterial small subunit ribosomal RNA", at positions 355 to 507 of the family's 1533-position model. The record is from RNAcentral.